CCGUAUCACAUUGAAGCACCAAUUCUCAUCUGUUCACCAAAGUUAAGCAACAUUGAGCCUGAUCAGUACCUAGAUGGGUAACCACUUGGGAAUACCAGGUGCU
Acanthosepion pharaonis is the source of this 103-nucleotide non-coding RNA. NCBI's taxonomy places the organism in Eukaryota, Metazoa, Mollusca, Cephalopoda, Sepiida, Sepiidae. The record is from the annotation of a GenBank genome assembly.